Molecule: unclassified non-coding RNA, 348 nt
Filed under: uncultured Spizellomycetaceae
Lineage: Eukaryota; Fungi; Chytridiomycota; Chytridiomycetes; Spizellomycetales; Spizellomycetaceae
Description: sequence contains ITS2
Source: RNAcentral
AACGCACAUUGCGCUUCCUGGUAUUCCGGGGAGCAUGCCCGUUUCAGAAUCAUUUAAAUCUCACUGCCUGCUGGGCCCCUACCCCUGUGGUGGAAACCCGGAAGAAAGUGGAUCUGGAUAUAUUGUAACAUUUUCUUUGCAAUUGUCUAAAUAUGAUUGUAUGUGCUCCAAUAGGAACAUCUAUUGGCUCUCCAAAGUGCAACAGAUACAUCUAUUUCUCUUUGGUGGGCCUUUUGUCAUUCCUGUUGUUGGGCGUGUCUACAAGUCUUUGACAGGCGGUGUGCUGGGCAACAGUACGUCGUCUGAUAACUUGGUCUGAAAUCGGGCAAGAAAACCCGCUGAACUUAA